This is a non-coding RNA of Oryzias latipes (Japanese medaka), 445 nucleotides long. The record is from RefSeq and is a predicted model, not a curated record. Lineage: Eukaryota; Metazoa; Chordata; Actinopteri; Beloniformes; Adrianichthyidae.
UAUUUUUUUAAUCUUCCAAUUAUUAUAAGAAAAUUUGUUCCACGCGGUUCCUUGUUGCGCAGGGAAGGCAAUUAGUGGGACACACCCUGCCUUCACCAUGCGGCCUCUGCCCCUCCCUUACCAGUUGGAGUGAGCGGUCUGAGCUGAACUCCACUUCCACAACUGCCGACCUGGGUUCAGUCACGAGCUCCUGACCAACAGACCGCCACAAAAUCCAAAACCUCCAGCCACACCACGACUCCAAGCCACGACCUCGCUCUUUGUCAUGCCACGUGUCUACCAGCUGCAAGUACCAUCAUCAUCUGCCUCGUCAAUACUACGCUCCACCUCAAUCAAAGAAUACAACUUACCUUCGGAUUCUCGUCUCACCCUCCUCCGCUCUGGUGACAUAUCCAUGGACUCUUCGCCAACAACCAUGAACUAAAUAAAAACUUCUCUUAGCCUA